Molecule: long non-coding RNA, 2099 nt
Organism: Octopus sinensis (East Asian common octopus)
Lineage: Eukaryota; Metazoa; Mollusca; Cephalopoda; Octopoda; Octopodidae
Exons: 2
Source: RefSeq, a predicted model, not a curated record
AUAAAAUAAAUAAAUAAUAAAAAUAAAGCAUAAAACAAAGAAUGAAAGCUUAAAACAACAACAAAAGAACACAGCUACAAACAACAAAAGAACCCUAACACACUACAACAUUUGUCAAUGUGAUUGCUGAAGCAAGCUGUUAAAAUAUGGUACCCUUCCCCUCCCUGUCUGACAAUAACAGCAAUAUCUAGGCCAAAAAGGUCAAAUUGACAUCAGAUAGGUCAAACAAAUUAGGCCACGGUUACAGUUUGUCAUUGGAGUAUCUAUUGGUUACACAAUUUACUAGAAAAGCAACCAAAUCUCCCUCCAAUAACACCUGUACUAUCUCAGAAAGAAAGGAGCUAUUAGAUAAGCAAAGCCAGGGAGAAUGACAAGAAUGAUCCUUGUUUAUAUGUUUGCUCAAUUAGAGACGACCUGGGGCAUAUUAACAAUAAACAAAACUAUGCUGAAUGAGCACUUCUUAGUAAGAACCAAAUUUAAAAGUCUGAGGGAUAAGCAUGACAGGCAGGGGAAAAAAAAUAAGAUGGUAAAAAUAGCUAUGCGAAGGAUAUGGAAUCUAAAGCUUCACACCACACCGCACCCCCAACACACACUAUAUGUCUUCCAGACAAGCUCUUGUCUGGAAAUAGCACGAGAAUUAUUAUAGCCACUUUUAGUUGUAACAAUCAAGGUAUAUACAGAUUGCAUUCAAUAGAAGUGGAUUCGAAACAAUGGCACAAUGUGUUCUUGAAAACGGCAUUUUCCCACAUAUUAAUAAUGUGAGCUGGACAAGAGUAAUACACAACCCUAAUGCCAAUUGGUAAGUAUUUAGGUUUAAGUCCUAAAAUAUAAAAGUUAAAGCUGAGAAACAGAAAAAAAUAUAUUUACUUGAAAAUUUAUUAUUUGAAGGUAACUAAGGUAAAAGUUUUUAAAGAUGUUAAUGACGAUGAGAGGAAAACUAGUGAGUUAUAACAAAAUUGAUGCUUUCAAUUUUGCCAUUAAUUUUAAAGUUCACUUAAGUUCAACCAAUUAAAUCUUGCAGUCGUUAAUACUCUUCUUUCAGACAACAUUAUUCAUUAUUUGAGAUGGAUCGCACUACAUAAACAUGUAGAUAAUUAGCACUUAUACAGAGAAAAUAUAUAGGUACCAGGAGUAAUAUUCUAGUUUGGAUAAUAUCAGUGUUAAGAGACCAACACUGGUGUUUCUCUAAUAUAAAUAUUCUUUACAAUAACUUUGAAAAACUCCUUUGUAAAUUGACAAUUUUGGUAGAAGUGAAAUGGCAAGGAAUAACAAGAAAAAAAGAUGAAAAAAAUUCUAAUUAAAAAUACAUAGAUGAUUAGUUAGGCUUAUAUUUGCAAACAUUUCACACCUUAGAGACUAUUUGAAACAAUUUUAGUUUUUAGGUUAAAAAAAAUAGACAAAAUUUUUUAAGGCAGCAAAAAAUGCCAUUUUAGACAGGGUACAUGUUAAGCAGUUAGUCAGGUGAGGCACUUAAUAGUGCUUACUUGUGAAAAAUCAUCUACACAUUCAUAUAUAAUGAACUUAUUGUAUACAAUACUCAUGGCAUUCAAAAAAAAAAAAAAGAAUUAAAACUUUAUAUUUAUUAUAUUUGUAUCUGUCACAAGGCUUUUAAAUGACUAUAGUUAAAGACAUAGAGAAGCAUUUACAAACAUUAUUUUCAGAAAUACAGAACAAAUUAAUCCAAAGACAGAGUUUUCGGUGACAUGAAAGACGUGCUUGACAAUAAGUGAAGUGAUGAAAGGUGAUUUCUGAAGCUGCAAUUUAUCACGGUCAUGUCUACAGACAAUGAAUAGGAAGUUGGAGACAUUAAAUAAAAAAAAAUCAGAUUUCUCAGUCUGCCGCUAGACAACAACCACAUGUUUUAUCAUACAAUGCUACUCCAGCUAAAUGCCGUUCAGAUCCAGCAACCAUAAAAAUUAGUUUAGAAUUUAUAUAUCUUUCAAAACUAUUUCUUUAUGUGAUAAAUUAAUUUUUUCUUAUUUAUUUUUUCUUAAAAAGUAAAAAAAAAUGUCAUAAAUACUAACUGAUUGAAAUGUCACAGUGCAGCCGUAACGUACAAGCUUUUGUCAUUAUUAUUUUCAAGCAAAAAAAAAAAAAAA